RNAcentral lists this ribosomal RNA (467 nucleotides) under uncultured bacterium. Its description in RNAcentral is "partial 16S ribosomal RNA". It matches the Rfam family "Bacterial small subunit ribosomal RNA", at positions 28 to 507 of the family's 1533-position model. The record is from RNAcentral.
GACGAACGCUGGCGGCGUGCUUAACACAUGCAAGUCGAACGGAAAGGCCUCUUUCGGGGGGUACUCGAGUGGCGAACGGGUGAGUAACACGUGAGUAACCUGCCCUUGACUUUGGGAUAACUUCAGGAAACUGGGGCUAAUACCGGAUAGGAGCUCCUGCUGCAUGGUGGGGGUUGGAAAGUUUCGGCGGUUGGGGAUGGACUCGCGGCUUAUCAGCUUGUUGGUGGGGUAGUGGCUUACCAAGGCUUUGACGGGUAGCCGGCCUGAGAGGGUGACCGGCCACAUUGGGACUGAGGUACGGCCCAGACUCCUACGGGAGGCAGCAGUGGGGAAUAUUGCACAAUGGGUGGAAGCCUGAUGCAGCAACGCCGGGUGCGGGAGGACGGCCUUCGGGUUGUAAACCGCUUUCGCUCAUGACGAAGCUUUGUGUGACGGUAGUGGGUAAAGAAGCACCGGCUAACUACGUG